RNAcentral lists this ribosomal RNA (590 nucleotides) under Candida tropicalis. RNAcentral's name for it is "eukaryotic LSU rRNA". It matches the Rfam family "Eukaryotic large subunit ribosomal RNA", at positions 50 to 656 of the family's 3401-position model. The record is from RNAcentral. Lineage: Eukaryota; Fungi; Ascomycota; Pichiomycetes; Serinales; Debaryomycetaceae.
CCGGAGGAAAAGAAACCAACAGGGAUUGCCUUAGUAGCGGCGAGUGAAGCGGCAAAAGCUCAAAUUUGAAAUCUGGCUCUUUCAGAGUCCGAGUUGUAAUUUGAAGAAGGUAUCUUUGGGUCUGGCUCUUGUCUAUGUUUCUUGGAACAGAACGUCACAGAGGGUGAGAAUCCCGUGCGAUGAGAUGAUCCAGGCCUAUGUAAAGUUCCUUCGAAGAGUCGAGUUGUUUGGGAAUGCAGCUCUAAGUGGGUGGUAAAUUCCAUCUAAAGCUAAAUAUUGGCGAGAGACCGAUAGCGAACAAGUACAGUGAUGGAAAGAUGAAAAGAACUUUGAAAAGAGAGUGAAAAAGUACGUGAAAUUGUUGAAAGGGAAGGGCUUGAGAUCAGACUUGGUAUUUUGUAUGUUACUUCUUCGGGGGUGGCCUCUACAGUUUAUCGGGCCAGCAUCAGUUUGGGCGGUAGGAGAAUUGCGUUGGAAUGUGGCACGGCUUCGGUUGUGUGUUAUAGCCUUCGUCGAUACUGCCAGCCUAGACUGAGGACUGCGGUUUAUACCUAGGAUGUUGGCAUAAUGAUCUUAAGUCGCCCGUCUUG